GACGAACGCUGGCGGCGUGCUUAACACAUGCAAGUCGAACGGGAUAAUUUGAGAGCUUGCUCUUAGAGAAUCUAGUGGCAAACGGGUGAGUAACACGUAGACAACCUGCCGACAGGAUGGGGACAACAUUCCGAAAGGAAUGCUAAUACCGAAUGAAGCGGGGGAGAGGCAUCUCUCCUCCGUGAAAGAUGGCCUCUGAAUAUGCUAUCACCUGUCGAUGGGUCUGCGUCUGAUUAGCUAGUUGGUGAGGUAACGGCUCACCAAGGCGACGAUCAGUAGCCGGUCUGAGAGGAUGAACGGCCACAUUGGGACUGAGACACGGCCCAGACUCCUACGGGAGGCAGCAGUGGGGAAUCUUCCGCAAUGGGCGCAAGCCUGACGGAGCAACGCCGCGUGAGUGAAGAAGGUCUUCGGAUCGUAAAGCUCUGUUGACGGGGACGAACGUGCGAAGGGUGAAUAAUCCUUUGUAAUGACGGUACCUGUCGAGGAAGCCACGGCUAACUACGUG
RNAcentral lists this ribosomal RNA (508 nucleotides) under uncultured bacterium. RNAcentral describes it as "partial 16S ribosomal RNA". It matches the Rfam family "Bacterial small subunit ribosomal RNA", at positions 28 to 507 of the family's 1533-position model. The record is from RNAcentral.